GACGAACGCUGGCGGCGUGCUUAACACAUGCAAGUCGAACGGAAAGGCCCUGCUUUUGUGGGGUGCUCGAGUGGCGAACGGGUGAGUAACACGUGAGUAACCUGCCCUUGACUUUGGGAUAACUUCAGGAAACUGGGGCUAAUACCGGAUAGGAGCUCCUGCUGCAUGGUGGGGGUUGGAAAGUUUCGGCGGUUGGGGAUGGACUCGCGGCUUAUCAGCUUGUUGGUGGGGGAGUGGCUUACCAAGGAUUUGACGGGUCGCCGGCCUGGGAGGGUGACCGGCCACAUUGGGACUGAGAUACGGCCCAGAGUCCUACGGGAGGCAGCAGUGGGGAAUAUUGCACAAUGGGCGGAAGCCUGAUGCAGCAACGCCGCGUGCGGGAUGACGGCCUGCGGGUUGUAAACCGCUUUCGCCUGUGACGAAGCGUGAGUGACGGUAAUGGGUAAAGAAGCACCGGCUAACUACGUG
RNAcentral lists this ribosomal RNA (468 nucleotides) under uncultured bacterium. RNAcentral describes it as "partial 16S ribosomal RNA". It matches the Rfam family "Bacterial small subunit ribosomal RNA", at positions 28 to 507 of the family's 1533-position model. The record is from RNAcentral.